Molecule: long non-coding RNA, 1707 nt
Organism: Myotis myotis
Lineage: Eukaryota; Metazoa; Chordata; Mammalia; Chiroptera; Vespertilionidae
Exons: 2
Source: RefSeq, a predicted model, not a curated record
CCCGGAGCCCGCCGCACCGGGGUCUCGGGCCCCAGAGCUGCCAUUUCGUCAAUGUCAGCUUUCCACCCGGGACCCGCCGGACCCCUCUGCACACACCCCCAUCCCGGACACCCGUGGGCAGUUCCCAGAGCUCGAUGGAUUGCCUGGUAUCUACAUCCAGAAGUUGACUCCUGGACUGAAUUCUGAACACGACUUACAGCUUCUUGAGCAAAGACAGGAUUGUGCAACAGAAGAACUUCAGACUCUUAAGGGCCCUUCUCUCCUUUUCCACAUUCCUUACUCUUUGGGGGACUGGAUUAAAUGGGCAGUGACCUCACCAUUCAUAGCUAAGUCCUUAAAACUAGACUCUUUGAUUCAUGUUUAAAAACUGUCUUCAAAUAGCUGCUGGCUUUACAGGAGCUGAAUUAAAAUAUUUGUACACAGAGGUUUUGUGUGCCCAUUAAGAACGACAGCAAUGACUUUCCCUUAACCUUUCAAGGGUUGACCAGGGUUUAGCAUGAUGUAAUGUUAUAUAUGGUGAAUUAUUAAGGUGAAGUAUGUACAAUUAAAUUCCUAGAAAGCAAGGGGAGAAUUUUAGAAAAGGAAUUAAAAGCUACACAGAGAGUGCAGGUCUACAAGUUACUGGCUGUAAAAGUCCAGCUUAAGUUCUAGAUGCGGUGGGCCUCUGUUUGGCUGCCAGGUUGACAUGACCUUAGAGAAAGUAGUAAUAUCCAGUAGUGGAAAGCUAGGGGGCAGCUCCUCCUGCCCAGUGCUUCCCCUCUUCCUUUUAAGCUCCUGAACUCUCUAAAGGAGGACAGCGUGUUUCAAUCCUAUUAUUUAUUAUUGUGGUUACAUUAAGAAUGGUUGUGGCCAAAACACAUUUGUUUUUAUAAUUACUGUAACUUAACUAUUCAGCAAAAUCAGCAUAUUUAUUCACCCAACGAAUAUUUGAGCACUUGUAUGGGCCGGGUACAGCGGUGAACAAAACGGAAAUCACUGCCUUCAUGGGGCUCAGCACCUUGUUUUUUCUCUGAAUAAACAAGAAUUUACGUUGUAGGAGUGCGCAGCUGGCAUCUGACGAGCAGAGCCGCACUCAGUAGCUACGAUAGGCCCUUCAGACGCACAGGACAGACACUCCUUUACACACAAUGUUCGGAACAGCCUCUUGUCGAAAUUGGGGACAUCGGACGGAUGUGAAUCGCCUACGUAUUUUGGGGAGACGCCCCUUCUUUCAAAUCAGGGCAUGGAUCUGGUGAACUCUGCGUCCUCUGCCUUUCAGAAUUGCACUUGGGUUACAGUGGAAUCUGGGACUGAUUUGGGAGGACUUUAUCUGUCAACUACAAGGUUAACAAUGACGCCUCCAGGGUACCCUUGAUCUCUCUGAAGAAAACCUUUCGGGCAAAGGUGGGAGCAUCUAGAGCAGUGACGGCGAUUUUUUUGGUUGAUUUUUCUUUGUUAAAUGGCAUUUAAAUAUAUAAAAUAAAUAUCAAAAAUAUAAGUCUUUGUUUUACUACGGUUGCAAAUAUCAAAAAAAUGUCUAUAUGUGACACAGCACCAGAGUUAAGUUAGGGUUUUUCAAAAUGCUGACACGCCGAGCUCAAAAGGUUUGCCAUCACUGAUCUAGAGAAACACAGAACUGGGAUUUCCUUUCGUAUCCAAACAUUGUAGGAACUGUUUCUGUGCUGCUGGCUGGUAAUUUUGCCCAAUAAAUGUUUAUUGUGCAGCUAA